AGAGAAGUAAUAAUGACGCAUGGAUCCCAUGGGAGGGGGGGCAGCUCCCGGGUCCUCAGGGGGAAGUUGAGUGUUGAACAGGAGCCGGGGUCACACUGACCGUGGAAGGUAAAGGGGCGUCAGGAGACAGAGGAUGCAGACAUUAUGAAGUCUGUAGUGAUGAACGAGGCUCGGGACUUUCUCCAAAGUGCGUAGCGUCUGUGUGAGGCACGAUAACCAGCACAGUAGCAUCCAUGUGUGAGUCAGCCAGCAGCCCUGGGCGUGUCCGGUAGCACAUCUUCGUGGGUUUCCACCUGCACAGACACCCCCCCCAUCCAAUUUCCUCACAGGCCGUAAUCCCUUGUCUGACAGGAGACACAAAACCUGCCAAGCCAUGCUCUUUUCAGGGCGUAAGUACUUUCUAUCCCCGCAACUAUUAAUUGAAGUUUUAUGUUCUGUUUGAGUGUGCUUUUCAGGUUACAACAUUAUUUUUUUCUUCAACCAAGGACACAAAUUGAACGGCAGUUGUUGUGGUACAUUACUUAAGGACGUUAGUCUUUACUUACAUGCUGUGUAGGUGAAAAUGCAAGUAAAUGUAUUUUGCCUUGUAAAUGAUUUCCAUAAGAACAGUUUCCAUAAGAACAUGUGUCUAUUCCAUAAAAGGUGAUUAUAAUAAAACUAAAAUCGAUUUGCGCAAUCCAAAA
Esox lucius (northern pike) is the source of this 683-nucleotide long non-coding RNA. RefSeq lists it as uncharacterized. The transcript has 2 exons. Lineage: Eukaryota; Metazoa; Chordata; Actinopteri; Esociformes; Esocidae. The record is from RefSeq and is a predicted model, not a curated record.